RNAcentral lists this ribosomal RNA (207 nucleotides) under uncultured bacterium. Its description in RNAcentral is "partial 16S ribosomal RNA". It matches the Rfam family "Bacterial small subunit ribosomal RNA", at positions 568 to 774 of the family's 1533-position model. The record is from RNAcentral.
CGUGUAGGCGGACCGGAAAGUCAGGUGUGAAAUCCCUGGGCUCAACCUAGGAACUGCAUCUGAAACUCCCGGUCUAGAGUGUCGGAGAGGGAAGCGGAAUUCCUGGUGUAGAGGUGAAAUUCGUAGAUAUCAGGAGGAACACCGGUGGCGAAGGCGGCUUCCUGGACGACUACUGACGCUGAGACGCGAAAGCGUGGGGAGCAAACA